UGUCCUGCAAGGUUGAAGUGCUUGCAAGGAACCCGGCUCGGCGGUCGCGUUCCAUUAAGAAAGCUGCGUGGUCAUCACCGAGAGGGCUGGCUGUGUGCGGGGCGGGGCGGGGCUGGCCGCUCCGUGUCCAGCAAGGCCGCUCCCACCCUAAAGCUUGUCCCUGGCUUGCAGGCUUCUCUAACCAACCAGCCUCCGUCCAUAACGCCAGCCUCGAGUCAGGCCGGAGGCCUGCCUGUCUCCCGUGUCCGUCCCGAGUGGGGACCCUGGGGGAGCCUGGUCCGAGGGGGCACCGGACACCACGGAGCCACAGCUUCGAGCCCGUGGGCCCAGCUGGGGUUUUUCAGAUGGGCUAAUGCAAAUGGUCCUGAUAGACUCUUGGAGAUUAAUGGCCAGAAAGUGGCUCGGCACUCGAUUCCGCAGGGGCUGCCGGCCUGCCCGUGCGCUGCAGUGCAGAGGAAGUGGAGUGAGCACGCUGGCCUCCGUCUCAGGGCCUGCCUCGAGCAGCUGCCGCAGGUGGCCAGGCCCUACCCAGGCAGCUCUGCACCCUGGAGGGGGGACAGCCCUCUUCUCCCCCUCGGUCAGAGACUGGGCCCUGCCCUUUCGCACUCACGCAAGUGUGCAGGGCCGGUUCCGGGCCAAGUUCCGCGCUGCUCAUUGGGGGUUCCGUGCGGCCGGGGGCCGCCGCCCACAGGGAGCUCGGUCUUCCGUGGCCACCCACACCGGGCCUGCAGGUGCUCCCGUUCCGUACUUGGCAGUUCUACUCACGGCAGCUUAGGGGUAACCCCAGAAUUCAGACGGGGGUGGGGGGGCUUUCAUGGUCAUCUAGGGCUAGAAGCGGCCUGGCGCCCAAUGCACACACUCCCGGCUGCAGCCAAGCAGGCGGCCCGCUCCGCCUGCCCAACUCGGCUUUCCUGCAGUAACCAAGGGUCCACGUGGCUACUCAGCGCCACGUUUUCUGCAGUUCGGGGCAUGGCUGGUGAGAACUCAGGACCCUGGGCAUGGGGCACUCCUGAGUCCAGGCCGAAAUCACAGAGCCACUGGACGUCAGCUUAA
This 1053-nucleotide long non-coding RNA is filed under the name Oryctolagus cuniculus (rabbit). RNAcentral's name for it is "lncRNA (ENSOCUG00000036045.1)". Lineage: Eukaryota; Metazoa; Chordata; Mammalia; Lagomorpha; Leporidae. The record is from RNAcentral.